GUUUCUGAAUUAAAAAAUAUUACAUAGAAUAAGAAACUUUAUUUUCUGGAUUAUUAAAUUACACAGGAAGUCCUACUGUUGACUGGGUAACCAAUGUUGGAGGUAUUGGUAAAGGAAUUUUAACAAGCAUCUUUUAUCAGUAAAAGUUGGAAUCCUGCACAUUGAACCUAUUUCUGGAAAUCCAUUGUGUGAUCAGUUUCAGUUCAAAGGUGAAACAAAAGUUUGAUAAAGUUAAUCUCUUGCUUCUCGUCGGAUGUUUUGUCUAUCGAUAUGAAGUCGGUGCUAAUAGAAA
This is a long non-coding RNA of Argiope bruennichi, 292 nucleotides long. RefSeq lists it as uncharacterized. The transcript is spliced from 3 exons. The record is from RefSeq and is a predicted model, not a curated record. Lineage: Eukaryota; Metazoa; Arthropoda; Arachnida; Araneae; Araneidae.